Non-coding RNA from Oryctolagus cuniculus (rabbit), 489 nucleotides. NCBI's taxonomy places the organism in Eukaryota, Metazoa, Chordata, Mammalia, Lagomorpha, Leporidae. The record is from RefSeq and is a predicted model, not a curated record.
CACUGACAGGCCUGAAGCAGUCAGCGGCCUCACCUCCCCCAACUCACCAACGCGGAUGGGACAGGCCUGCAGUGCCUCCUCCCCCAAUUCACAGUGCAGGUGGACGGCCUGCAGUGUCUCCUCCUACAACUCAGUGCAGGUGGACGGCCUGCAGUGCCUCCUCCCCAACUCACAGUGCAGGUGGACGGCCUGCAGUGUCUCCUCCCCCAACUCACAGUGCAGGUGGACGGCCUGCAGAGUCUCCUCCUCCUACAACUCACAGUGCAGGUGGACGGGCCUGCAGUGUCUCCUCCCCCAACUCACAGUGCAGGUGGACGGGCCUGCAGUGUCUCCUCCCCCAACUCACAGUGCAAGUGGACGGCCUGCAGUGUCUCCUCCCCCAACUCACAGUGCAGGUGGACGGCCUGCAGUGCCUCCUCCCCAACUCACAGUGCAGGUGGACGGCCUGCAGAGUCUCCUCCUCCUACAACUCACAGUGCAGGUGGACGG